UAUUAUUUUUAGAGUAUAAUUGGAGGGCAGUCUGGUGCCAGCAGCCGCGGUAAUUCCAGCUCCAAUAGCGUAUAUUAAAAUUGUUGCAGUUAAAAAGCUCGUAGUUGAAUUUCUGCUGCAUCGUCGCAUCUCUUGCUGAGUGCUUCGUUUCGGCUUAUUUCGGAUUGAUUUUUUCUUUCCGGAUGAUUACUUUGAGAAAAUUAGAGUGCUCAAAGCAGGCUUUUGCCUUGAAUAGUUUAGCAUGGAAUAAUAAAGUAGGACUUUGGUUCUAUUUUGUUGGUUUUAGGUACCAAAGUAAUGGUUAAUAGGAACAGUUGGGGGCAUUCGUAUUUAACUGUCAGAGGUGAAAUUCUUAGAUUUGUUAAAGACGAACUACUGCGAAAGCAUUUGCCAAGGAUGUUUUCAUUAAUCAAGAACGAAAGUUAGGGGAUCGAAGACGAUCAGAUACCGUCGUAGUCCUA
RNAcentral lists this ribosomal RNA (461 nucleotides) under Theileria sinensis. RNAcentral's name for it is "SSU rRNA". It matches the Rfam family "Eukaryotic small subunit ribosomal RNA", at positions 528 to 1028 of the family's 1831-position model. Lineage: Eukaryota; Apicomplexa; Aconoidasida; Piroplasmida; Theileriidae. The record is from RNAcentral.